AAAUUAUGUUUUACACCAAAAUCUGAGAUAAGGAGUAAAACACGAACCGAGCUUGUCAACGAACCAAUAGUUGGAUGAGUGCUUUGCCUGUCCCUGAUUGAGUCUUGAGACAAAAUUGCAAAUCAACAUCUUUGCACAAUUCUCCAAUGGAUGAAGGUUGUUGGUUGAUGGCAAUAUCUCUUGCUCUGAAUCUGCAACACUUUCUUCUUCGAAAAGAGGUGGAUUUGUGUUCUUUUCUAUUUGGCCACCUUUGUAUGAUGUUUCGCCUGCAUGCACGCUUUAUAGUUGAUCUUCCUACUGUAAGAACAAGUAAAUUCUUGCUAAUGUCAGUACAUAAUAAAACAUUUAGUUUCA
Molecule: non-coding RNA, 354 nt
Organism: Salvia hispanica
Lineage: Eukaryota; Viridiplantae; Streptophyta; Magnoliopsida; Lamiales; Lamiaceae
Source: RefSeq, a predicted model, not a curated record